AGUGAACGCUGGCGGUAGGCCUAACACAUGCAAGUCGAACGGCAGCACAGAGGAGCUUGCUCCUUGGGUGGCGAGUGGCGGACGGGUGAGGAAUACAUCGGAAUCUACUCUGUCGUGGGGGAUAACGUAGGGAAACUUACGCUAAUAUCGCAUACGACCUACGGGUGAAAGCAGGGGAUCUUCGGACCUUGCGCGAUUGAAUGAGCCGAUGUCGGAUUAGCUAGUUGGCGGGGUAAAGGCCCACCAAGGCGACGAUCCGUAGCUGGUCUGAGAGGAUGAGCAGCCACACUGGAACUGAGACACGGUCCGGACUCCUACGGGAGGCAGCAGUGGGGAAUAUUGGACAAUGGGCGCAAGCCUGAUCCAGCCAUACCGCGUGGGUGAAGAAGGCCUUCGGGUUGUAAAGCCCUUUUGUUGGGAAAGAAAUCCAUCUGGUUAAUACCCGGGUGGGAUGACGGUACCCAAAGAAUAAGCACCGGCUAACUUCGUGCCAGCAGCCGCCGUAA
This 506-nucleotide ribosomal RNA is filed under the name uncultured bacterium. RNAcentral describes it as "partial 16S ribosomal RNA". It matches the Rfam family "Bacterial small subunit ribosomal RNA", at positions 29 to 523 of the family's 1533-position model. The record is from RNAcentral.